Long non-coding RNA from Fundulus heteroclitus (mummichog), 596 nucleotides. RefSeq lists it as uncharacterized. NCBI's taxonomy places the organism in Eukaryota, Metazoa, Chordata, Actinopteri, Cyprinodontiformes, Fundulidae. The transcript is spliced from 3 exons. The record is from RefSeq and is a predicted model, not a curated record.
UUGUAAGUAAAACCAGUCAGUUUUGUCUCUUUUUAAGUCAUGCUAAAUCUUAUUUGUGUGCAACUUUCUCUGCCAGGGAGUAACAAGAGGAGGGUGGAAACCCAGAUGAUGAUGAUGAUCUUUUGGAAUGACUGGCUGAUGGAGGCGGAUGGCUGCUGCUCUUUCGCCAAAAUAAAAUACAAAAUGCUGCGCACUAUUUUGGGAAUUCUCAAAUGAUUGGCUCAGGAACCAGGAAGGAACACGGCCGGUGAGACUGGGACAAAUUUGAAUUUCUUGCAUGGACAACAUCCCACCGCUUGGCUUUUCUACCUCUCCGAUGAUUUAAUUCUUGCAUAGCGAGGACGCGUGAUCCUGCGGCUGCCUGUUCACCCUACAUACAACCUCUUUGUCGGAUACAUGGGAGUGUGGCAUCUUGCAGUCUCCUAUAUUUGGUUUAAUCUGAGUGUAUAGCUAUUGACAAGUUGAGCAGUAAAAGUUAGGAUUUAUACAGUUUUGGUGUUUUUCUUACCAGAUGCUGUAUCAUCAUUCCUGUGUUCAUAUCACUUUGAAAUGUUUUGUUGGUCAAUUUCAAAGUAAACAAACCAUUGCAAACUUUU